This 440-nucleotide ribosomal RNA is filed under the name uncultured bacterium. RNAcentral describes it as "partial 16S ribosomal RNA". It matches the Rfam family "Bacterial small subunit ribosomal RNA", at positions 338 to 795 of the family's 1533-position model. The record is from RNAcentral.
GCUACGGGUGGCAGCAGUAGGGAAUCUUGCGCAAUGGGGGGAACCUUGAUGCAGCAACGCCGCGUGAGUGAAGAAGUAUUCCGGUAUGUAAAGCUCUGUCAUCAGGGAAGAACAUGACGUUACCUGACCAAUAACCCCCUGAUGACUACUGACCAGCAGCCGAGGUAAUACGUAGUGGGCGAGGGUGAUCCGGUUUUAGUGGGUGUAACGGGAGCGUAGACUGCAGGGCAAGACUGGAGUGAAAGCCCGUGGCCCAACCACGGGACUGCUUUGGAAACUGGGCUGCGGGAGUGCAGGAGGGGUAAGCGGAAUUCCUAGUGUAGCGGUGAAAUGCGUAGAUAUUAGGAGGAACACCAGUGGCGAAGGCGGCUUACUGGACUGUAACUGACGUUGAGGCUCGAAGGCGUGGGUAGCAAACAGGAUUAGAUACCCGAGUAGUC